UGGUCGGGAUAGCUCAGCUGG
Molecule: transfer RNA, 21 nt
Filed under: Episcia cupreata
Lineage: Eukaryota; Viridiplantae; Streptophyta; Magnoliopsida; Lamiales; Gesneriaceae
Also listed under: 3 other names
Description: partial transfer RNA-Phe
Source: RNAcentral